This 401-nucleotide ribosomal RNA is filed under the name uncultured bacterium. RNAcentral's name for it is "bacterial SSU rRNA". It matches the Rfam family "Bacterial small subunit ribosomal RNA", at positions 356 to 774 of the family's 1533-position model. The record is from RNAcentral.
GGGGAAUAUUGGACAAUGGGCGAAAGCCUGAUCCAGCCAUGCCGCGUGAGUGAUGAAGGCCCUAGGGUUGUAAAGCUCUUUUGUGCGGGAAGAUAAUGACGGUACCGCAAGAAUAAGCCCCGGCUAACUUCGUGCCAGCAGCCGCGGUAAUACGAAGGGGGCUAGCGUUGCUCGGAAUCACUGGGCGUAAAGGGUGCGUAGGCGGGUUUCUAAGUCAGAGGUGAAAGCCUGGAGCUCAACUCCAGAACUGCCUUUGAUACUGGAAGUCUUGAGUUCGGGAGAGGUAAGUGGAACUGCGAGUGUAGAGGUGAAAUUCGUAGAUAUUCGCAAGAACACCAGUGGCGAAGGCGGCUCACUGGCCCGAUACUGACGCUGAGGCACGAAAGCGUGGGGAGCAAACA